UUUAUGUCGCUCUCUCUCUCUCGCUGUCUCAGGCUGCCAAGGCCAACCUGGAGAAGGCGCAGUCCGAGCUGCUGGGCACCUCUGACGAGGCGGCGCGGGCGGAGAUCCAGAUCACCAUAGAGGCCAACGAGGCCAUCGUGAAGGCCCUGGAGUAGCUGCCGGUCACGGGGUAACGAACUCUGUUGUAUUGAUGUAAAAGUGGACUUAACAACCCAUCUCAGUCCUGAUAUCCUGCCCGGUCAUGUCAAACAACUUUGCUUUGUACAGUGCAUAAGGUUAAUACCAAUAAAUUUAUUUGGAAUAAUC
Lepisosteus oculatus (spotted gar) is the source of this 306-nucleotide non-coding RNA. The record is from RefSeq and is a predicted model, not a curated record. Lineage: Eukaryota; Metazoa; Chordata; Actinopteri; Semionotiformes; Lepisosteidae.